Molecule: ribosomal RNA, 521 nt
Filed under: uncultured bacterium
Lineage: Bacteria
Description: bacterial SSU rRNA
Rfam family: Bacterial small subunit ribosomal RNA
Source: RNAcentral
AGAGUUUGAUCCUGGCUCAGAUUGAACGCUGGCGGCAUGCCUUACACAUGCAAGUCGAACGGUAACAGGUCUUCGGAUGCUGACGAGUGGCGAACGGGUGAGUAAUACAUCGGAACGUGCCCGAUCGUGGGGGAUAACGGAGCGAAAGCUUUGCUAAUACCGCAUACGAUCUACGGAUGAAAGCAGGGGACCGCAAGGCCUUGCGCGGACGGAGCGGCCGAUGGCAGAUUAGGUAGUUGGUGGGAUAAAAGCUUACCAAGCCGACGAUCUGUAGCUGGUCUGAGAGGACGACCAGCCACACUGGGACUGAGACACGGCCCAGACUCCUACGGGAGGCAGCAGUGAGGAAUAUUGCGCAAUGGGGGCAACCCUGACGCAGCGACGCCGCGUGAGUGAGGAAGGCCUUCGGGUCGUAAAGCUCUGUCAAAGGGGAAGAAGUGCAUGGUGGUUAAUAUCUGUCAUGUUUGACGGUACCCUUAAAGGAAGCACCGGCUAACUCCGUGCCAGCAGCCGCGGUAAUA